Molecule: ribosomal RNA, 503 nt
Filed under: uncultured soil bacterium
Lineage: Bacteria
Description: bacterial SSU rRNA
Rfam family: Bacterial small subunit ribosomal RNA
Source: RNAcentral
AGAGUGAACGCUGGCGGCAGGCCUAACACAUGCAAGUCGAACGGCAGCACAGAGGAGCUUGCUCCUUAGGUGGCGAGUGGCGGACGGGUGAGGAAUACGUCGGAAUCUGCCUAUUUGUGGGGGAUAACGUAGGGAAACUUACGCUAAUACCGCAUACGACCUACGGGUGAAAGCGGAGGACCUUCGGGCUUCGCGCAGAUAGAUGAGCCGACGUCGGAUUAGCUUGUGGCGGGGUAAAGGCCCACCAAGGCGACGAUCCGUAGCUGGUCUGAGAGGAUGAUCAGCCACACUGGAACUGAGACACGGUCCAGACUCCUACGGGAGGCAGCAGUGGGGAAUAUUGGACAAUGGGCGCAAGCCUGAUCCAGCCAUGCCGCGUGUGUGAAGAAGGCCUUCGGGUUGUAAAGCACUUUUUGUUGGGAAGAAAAGCACUGGAUUAAUACCUCGGUGUUCUGACGGUACCAAAGAAUAAGCACCGGCUAACUCGUGCCAGCAGCCGUACG